RNAcentral lists this ribosomal RNA (621 nucleotides) under uncultured bacterium. RNAcentral's name for it is "bacterial SSU rRNA". It matches the Rfam family "Bacterial small subunit ribosomal RNA", at positions 56 to 677 of the family's 1533-position model. The record is from RNAcentral.
UGCAGUCGAACGAGAAGGGAUCUUCGGAUCCUGAGUAGAGUGGCGAACGGGUGAGUAUCGCGUGGGUGACCUGCCCUAAGGAGGGGGAUAACCCGAGGAAACUCGGGCUAAUACCGCAUAAGCCCUAGGAGUCAAAUCCUAGGGGAAAGGGGCAUUUCUUUCGGGGAGUGUCAUUGCCUUUGGAGGGGCCCGCGUCCGAUUAGCUAGUUGGGGGGGUAAUGGCCCACCAAGGCGACGAUCGGUAGCCGGUCUGAGAGGACGGACGGCCACACUGGAACUGAAACACGGUCCAGACUCCUACGGGAGGCAGCAGUGGGGAAUUUUGCGCAAUGGGGGAAACCCUGACGCAGCAACGCCGCGUGAAGGAAGAAGGUUUUCGGAUCGUAAACUUCUGUCCGAGGGGAAGAAAAAAAUGACGGUACCCUUGGAGGAAGCCCCGGCUAACUCCGUGCCAGCAGCCGCGGUAAUACGGGGGGGGCAAGCGUUGUUCGGAAUUACUGGGCGUAAAGGGCACGCAGGCGGCUUGAGAAGUUCUAGGUGAAAGCCCUCGGCUUAACCGAGGAAUGUCCUAGGAAACCAUCAGGCUAGAGUGCUGGAGAGGGGAGUGGAAUUCCCGGUGUA